AGAGUUUGAUCCUGGCUCAGAUUGAACGCUGGCGGCAUGCCUUACACAUGCAAGUCGAACGGCAGCACGAGAGCUUGCUCUUGGUGGCGAGUGGCGAACGGGUGAGUAAUAUAUCGGAACGUACCCUAGAGUGGGGGAUAACGUAGCGAAAGUUACGCUAAUACCGCAUACGAUCUACGGAUGAAAGUGGGGGAUCGCAAGACCUCAUGCUCAUGGAGCGGCCGAUAUCUGAUUAGCUAGUUGGUGGGGUAAAAGCUCACCAAGGCGACGAUCAGUAGCUGGUCUGAGAGGACGACCAGCCACACUGGAACUGAGACACGGUCCAGACUCCUACGGGAGGCAGCAGUGGGGAAUUUUGGACAAUGGGCGCAAGCCUGAUCCAGCAAUGCCGCGUGAGUGAAGAAGGCCUUCGGGUUGUAAAGCUCUUUUGUCAGGGAAGAAACGGUGGACUCUAAUACAGAUCACUAAUGACAGUACCUGAAGAAUAAGCACCGGCUAACUACGUGCCAGCAGCCGCGGUAAUACGUAGGGUGCAAGCGUUAAUCGGAAUUACUGGGCGUAAAGCGUGCGCAGGCGGUUGUGCAAGACAGAUGUGAAAUCCCCGGGCUCAACCUGGGAAUUGCAUUUGUGACUGCACGGCUAGAGUGUGUCAGAGGGGGGUAGAAUUCCACGUGUAGCAGUGAAAUGCGUAGAGAUGUGGAGGAAUACCGAUGGCGAAGGCAGCCCCCUGGGAUAACACUGACGCUCAUGCACGAAAGCGUGGGGAGCAAACAGGAUUAGAUACCCUGGUAGUCCACGCCCUAAACGAUGUCUACUAGUUGUCGGGUCUUAAUUGACUUGGUAACGCAGCUAACGCGUGAAGUAGACCGCCUGGGGAGUACGGUCGCAAGAUUAAAACUCAAAGGAAUUGACGGGGACCCGCACAAGCGGUGGAUGAUGUGUAUUAAUUCGAUGCAACGCGAAAAACCUUACCUACCCUUGACGUGUCUGGAAUCCUUGAGAGAUCAGGGAGUGCUCGAAAGAGAAUCAGAACACAGGUGCUGCAUGGCUGUCGUCAGCUCGUGUCGUGAGAUGUUGGGUUAAGUCCCGCAACGAGCGCAACCCUUGUCAUUAGUUGCUACGAAAGGGCACUCUAAUGAGACUGCCGGUGACAAACCGGAGGAAGGUGGGGAUGACGUCAAGUCCUCAUGGCCCUUAUGGGUAGGGCUUCACACGUCAUACAAUGGUACAUACAGAGGGCCGCCAACCCGCGAGGGGGAGCUAAUCCCAGAAAGUGUAUCGUAGUCCGGAUUGUAGUCGGUAACUCGACUACAUGAAGUUGGAAUCGCUAGUAAUCGCGGAUCAGCAUGUCGCGGUGAAUACGUUCCCGGGUCUUGUACACACCGCCCGUCACACCAUGGGAGCGGGUUUCACCAGAAGUGGGUAGCCUAACCGCAAGGAGGGCGCUCACCACGGUGGGAUUCGUGACUUGGGUGAAGUCGUAACAAGGUA
Molecule: ribosomal RNA, 1491 nt
Filed under: metagenome
Description: bacterial SSU rRNA
Rfam family: Bacterial small subunit ribosomal RNA
Source: RNAcentral